RNAcentral lists this long non-coding RNA (354 nucleotides) under Dromaius novaehollandiae (emu). Its description in RNAcentral is "lncRNA (ENSDNVG00000018734.1)". The record is from RNAcentral. Lineage: Eukaryota; Metazoa; Chordata; Aves; Casuariiformes; Dromaiidae.
CUGGAAUUCCCAUCGUCCUCUCAGAUAUUUUCCUUUGAGAGGUUGGCAGGCAGGAUUUGUGCUGAAACAACCAGCCGGUACCUUUCUCAAUGUAGCAAGUCUUAAAGCCUGAUGCAGAUGCUUGAAUGUGAUUUUGUUAUGAUGGAAUGCAGCUUAUUCAGCAGUCCUGCAAUGAUUAAGCCACACUGAUGAACAUUGCAUUAGAAGUGAGGAGAAGUGUUCCCUGCACAUCUCAACUAAUGCGUAUCAUUGAUCAAGGCAGUCUAGUUCUUCUGUGGAGGAUCGGAUGCAGGUGACUGAGCCUGAAAAGGAACAGAUGUGGAAGAUCAGGUGAGAUCUGUUUGCCUAAUCUAA